GAAUAUUGCACAAUGGGCGAAAGCCUGAUGCAGCCAUGCCGCGUGGGUGAAGAAGGCCUUAGGGUUGUAAACCCCUUUCAGCGGGGAAGAUAAUGACGGUACCCGCAGAAGAAGUCCCGGCUAACUCCGUGCCAGCAGCCGCGGUAAUACGGAGGGGACUAGCGUUGUUCGGAAUUACUGGGCGUAAAGCGCGCGUAGGCGGAUUUGCAAGUCGGGGGUGAAAUCCCGAGGCUCAACCUCGGAACUGCCUUCGAUACUGCAAAUCUCGAGUCCGGAAGAGGUGAGUGGAAUUCCUAGUGUAGAGGUGAAAUUCGUAGAUAUUAGGAAGAACACCAGUGGCGAAGGCGGCUCACUGGUCCGGUACUGACGCUGAGGCGCGAAAGCCAGGGGAGCAAAC
Molecule: ribosomal RNA, 397 nt
Filed under: uncultured bacterium
Lineage: Bacteria
Description: bacterial SSU rRNA
Rfam family: Bacterial small subunit ribosomal RNA
Source: RNAcentral